AUAAGGUCCGUCUGGCUGGGUGGGUGCAUGGGCACUGCUGGAAGGAGCUGCACGCUGGCACAGCACUGUAGUGCAGUGCUCCAUUGCAGAGCUCCAACACCGUGCUGAGCUGGGCUCUGCGCUGCAGACACCGGAUAGCACAGCUGCAGCCCAGCUAAGGGGGGAACACCAUUGCAGCCCCAUCUCAGGGAAACCCAGGGCACUGCGGCCACACCGUUCAGGCUGCAGAGCUCACCCUGCUGCUGCGCCCUCGCUGUGCUCCGGUGAGCGGUGCUGGGGCCAUCACCAUCCUGCUUGGGUCCUGUGUGGGCUGAGGAAUGCACGGAUGGCGGUGGGCAGUUGGCAGCCCAAGUGUCGUCUUUGCUCAGUGAUUCAUACAAGCUGUGACCUGCAGCCUGGAGCAGCACAUUGCUGGGGGCUGCACAGGAGCCAGCAGCAGGUUAUGCGCCAUCUCCUGCUGCAGAAGCCCGUUCUCUUGCAAGCUUCGGGGUGGAAAAAAUUCCGUCUCCGCUUGGACUCUAUUUGUUGCCGCAGUGUGAGGCUGAUUAGGGGUGACACAGCUCACAUGAAGCCAGGUAAUGCCUCAUGCGGCAGCAAGUGACCCAGAAACAUCCUGGAAAAGUGCAGCGAAGGAAAUCGCCGCUCGCUGGAAGUCAGGAUGUGCACCUCGCCGAGCACGGCGCAUCGCAGACGAGAGCCAACAGCGUGCUUGUUGUGUCCCAGGCUGAUGUCUGGAG
RNAcentral lists this long non-coding RNA (737 nucleotides) under Gallus gallus (chicken). RNAcentral describes it as "lncRNA (ENSGALG00010026861.1)". The record is from RNAcentral. Lineage: Eukaryota; Metazoa; Chordata; Aves; Galliformes; Phasianidae.